GGGCUCCACAAGGACAUGAAUACCAGGUGGCAGGGAUCACUGGGCCAUCUCUCUAAAUCACGAAUGAAACAUUUGCAACCUGUGUCUCCCAAACAUGAUAUGUCUCAAUCAUCAAAGGAUCUACAGUGACUACAAUAACCAAGUGCUACAAAAACGCUGUGACGAGGAAUCUGAACAACAGAGAUUUGAGGGAAACAAAACACUUUCGACGAAGGUCCUGCUGCUUGUCUUCAGCUUGGUACCAAUUAGAGCUUCACUGGAGGUGAAAAGACAUUGACAGAAAGAACAUUAAUAAGAACAGAGAAGCAGAGAAGCCUUGGAAAUCAUGCUUUUAUCUGAAUGGAGGAAGAAAUAAAAGGAGAGGAUGGAGGAGCAGAGGAAACCUUGGUGUCUUCCAACUGGUAAGAAGUAGUUGAAGCUGAGCUGAACAUGUCAUCUGUUCUUAAAUUUAUCAAUUAGGGGAUGGAGUCUCACUAUGCUGCUCAAGGUGGUCUCAAACUCCUCGGCUUAAGUGAUCCCUCUGCCUCAGCUUCCUAAGUGCUGUCAUUACAGUUGUAAGCCACCACACCUAGUCCUCAACUUUGUUUAGUCAUAGCAUUGCCUAUAUCUAUUUUGAAUAUUACUCUUCUAGAAUCUACCAUAUCUGUGACUCUUGGAUAUGGUAAAAUAAACUAUUGUGAAUUAAUCUCC
Molecule: long non-coding RNA, 690 nt
Organism: Homo sapiens (human)
Lineage: Eukaryota; Metazoa; Chordata; Mammalia; Primates; Hominidae
Product: long intergenic non-protein coding RNA 378
Source: Ensembl